This 69-nucleotide transfer RNA is filed under the name Lepus granatensis (Granada hare). Its description in RNAcentral is "tRNA-His". It matches the Rfam family "tRNA". From Rfam's summary of the family: Transfer RNA (tRNA) molecules are approximately 80 nucleotides in length. RNAcentral also lists the same sequence under 1 other name. The record is from RNAcentral. Lineage: Eukaryota; Metazoa; Chordata; Mammalia; Lagomorpha; Leporidae.
GUAAAUAUAGUUUAAAAAAAACAUUAGAUUGUGAAUCUAAUAAUAGAAGAUUAUAUCUCCUUAUUUACC